This is a transfer RNA of Ordospora colligata OC4, 71 nucleotides long. It matches the Rfam family "tRNA". From Rfam's summary of the family: Transfer RNA (tRNA) molecules are approximately 80 nucleotides in length. Their secondary structure includes four short double-helical elements and three loops (D, anti-codon, and T loops). The record is from Rfam. Lineage: Eukaryota; Fungi; Microsporidia; Ordosporidae.
GGGGUUGUAGUUUAGUGGUAGAGCGCCUGCUUUGCACGCAGGAGAACCGGGUUCGAUUCCUGGCAACUCCA